Molecule: ribosomal RNA, 579 nt
Filed under: uncultured Sordariales
Lineage: Eukaryota; Fungi; Ascomycota; Sordariomycetes; Sordariales
Description: eukaryotic LSU rRNA
Rfam family: 5.8S ribosomal RNA (bases 194-347)
Source: RNAcentral
AGUCUCGUUGGUGACCAGCGGAGGGAUCAUUAUUAGAGCCUAAAAACUCACCUAAACCAUUGUGAAUUUACCUAUCUGUUGCUUCGGUGGGUGGCCCUUCCGGGGGUCCUCUAGGCCGCAAGGCGCCCGCCGGAGGUUAUUUUAAACACUAUGUCUUCUAUUGUACCUCUGAAUAAGAACCAAAAACAAUCAAAACUUUCAACAACGGAUCUCUUGGCUCUAGCAUCGAUGAAGAACGCAGCGAAAUGCGAUAAGUAAUGCGAAUUGCAGAAUUCCGCGAGUCAUCGAAUCUUUGAACGCACAUUGCGCCUGCCAGUAUUCUGGCAGGCAUGCCUGUCCGAGCGUCAUUUCAACCCCCAGGCCUUCGUUGCCUGUUGUUGGGGCAUUCAGGGUGGUCCGACGGACCCCCUGAGCCCUGAAAAUCAGUGGCGGGCCUGCCAGGUCACCGAGCGCAGUGAUCUCUCUCGCUCAGGGGCCCUGGCGGGUGCUAGCCGUGAAAACGCACACCUACGAACAGUGGUUUGACCUCGGAUCAGGUAGGAAUACCCGCUGAACUUAAGCAUAUCAAUAAGCGGAGGA